UCCGGUUUAGACCGGCGGUCUCCCUAGAGAAGGCAACUAAGGACAAGGGUUGCGCUCGUUGCGGGACUUAACCCAACAUCUCACGACACGAGCUGACGACAGCCAUGCAGCACCUUGCACUCUGUCUGGUUUUACCCAGAAGGCCCCGUCUCCGGGGUUGUCAGAGGCAUUCUAGCCCAGGUAAGGUUCUUCGCGUUGCGUCGAAUUAAACCACAUGCUCCACCGCUUGUGCGGGUCCCCGUCAAUUCCUUUGAGUUUUAAUCUUGCGACCGUACUCCCCAGGCGGAGUGCUUAAUGCGUUAGCUGCGUCACCGACAUGCAUGCAUGCCGACAACUAGCACUCAUCGUUUACGGCGUGGACUAC
This 364-nucleotide unclassified non-coding RNA is filed under the name uncultured bacterium. RNAcentral describes it as "contains 16S-23S intergenic spacer region". The record is from RNAcentral.